Molecule: unclassified non-coding RNA, 332 nt
Filed under: soil metagenome
Description: partial contains 5.8S ribosomal RNA, internal transcribed spacer 2, and large subunit ribosomal RNA
Rfam family: 5.8S ribosomal RNA (bases 1-120)
Source: RNAcentral
GAUGAAGAACGUAGUAAAAUGCGAUAAGUAAUGUGAAUUGCAGAAUUCAGUCAAUCAUCGAAUCUUUGAACGCACAUUGCGCCCGCCAGUAUUCUGGCGGGCAUGCCUGUUCGAGCGUCAUUUCAACCCUCAAGCACAGCUUGGUGUUGGGACUCGCGUUAAUUCGCGUUCCUCAAAUUGAUUGGCGGUCACGUCGAGCUUCCAUAGCGUAGUAGUAAAACCCUCGUUACUGGUAAUCGUCGCGGCCACGCCGUUAAACCCCAACUUCUGAAUGUUGACCUCGGAUCAGGUAGGAAUACCCGCUGAACUUAAGCAUAUCAAUAAGCGGAGGA